GGGGAAGCCAUAGUUAGGGUUUUCAAGCUUCCAAGCUCCAUAAUCAAGAAGUACGAAACUCGAGGUUAGACAAAGGGAAGAAUAAAGUUGAAGACUAAGUUGGUGAAUUUGGCUAUAAUUGGUACCGAGUAUUGCAAAGCUACUUCAAGGAUCCUAAAGAAGUCGGAGAUCGUCCACACUAUCAACCACAACUGCUCGGUAUUUUAUAUCGAAUCACGUUUGAGUUAUGGCAUGUAUAGGGAUUUAGUUAUUUUGUAUGUUUGUGAUUAUGAUUUUACUAAAGAAUGGUGUGUAAGUAUUUGAUGAUGUAUGGUUAUUAAAAUGGUUAAGUA
This is a long non-coding RNA of Gossypium raimondii (Peruvian cotton), 332 nucleotides long. RefSeq lists it as uncharacterized. Lineage: Eukaryota; Viridiplantae; Streptophyta; Magnoliopsida; Malvales; Malvaceae. The transcript has 3 exons. The record is from RefSeq and is a predicted model, not a curated record.